RNAcentral lists this ribosomal RNA (694 nucleotides) under uncultured bacterium. Its description in RNAcentral is "bacterial SSU rRNA". It matches the Rfam family "Bacterial small subunit ribosomal RNA", at positions 613 to 1308 of the family's 1533-position model. The record is from RNAcentral.
CCUGGGAACCGCNUUCUGAACUGGGUGACUAGAGUGUGUCAGAGGGAGGUAGAAUUCCACGUGUAGCAGUGAAAUGCGUAGAGAUGUGGAGGAAUACCGAUGGCGAAGGCANCCUCCUGGGAUAACACUGACGUUCAUGCCCGAAAGCGUGGGUAGCAAACAGGAUUAGAUACCCUGGUAGUCCACGCCCUAAACGAUGUCGAUUAGCUGUUGGGCAGCAUGACUGCUUAGUAGCGAAGCUAACGCGUGAAAUCGACCGCCUGGGGAGUACGGUCGCAAGAUUAAAACUCAAAGGAAUUGACGGGGACCCGCACAAGCGGUGGAUGAUGUGGAUUAAUUCGAUGCAACGCGAAGAACCUUACCUGGUCUUGACAUGUACGGAACCCUCCAGAGACGGAGGGGUGCCUUCGGGAGCCGUAACACAGGUGCUGCAUGGCUGUCGUCAGCUCGUGUCGUGAGAUGUUGGGUUAAGNCNNGCAACGAGCGCAACCCUUGUCAUUAGUUGCCAUCAUUAAGUUGGGCACUCUAAUGAGACUGCCGGUGACAAGCCGGAGGAAGGUGGGGAUGACGUCAAGUCCUCAUGGCCCUUAUGACCAGGGCUUCACACGUCAUACAAUGGUCGGUACAGAGGGUAGCCAAGCCGCGAGGUGGAGCCAAUCUCACAAAACCGAUCGUAGUCCGGAUUGCACUCUNC